ACACGUUUCGGGUUCGACUCUGGAAUCGCCCCGAACAGAAAGAUACUUUUGGAGGCCCAGAGGGGAGGAGCUGAUGCUUCCGUCCAGCCCGGGGAAGGAAAUCGAGGAAAACGCGGAGAACCUUGCUACCCGGGCUGUUGCCCACUCCCCUCCCCUUCUCCACAACAGUUACUCCUCCUUUCCUCCAGCAUUUGGUUUUACUCUCAGAGAGUAAGGGAGGAAAUCACCUACUUAGACGCAGUUCUCCCCUUUAACUGCACUAACGAUCUUAAGAUCACUAAAGCCGAAAGCACUGAACCCCGCAAACUGAACGGAUUUUAAUCAUCAAAGAAAAUGCAUAUGAAGAGAGAUUACUUACCAACAGGUCAAGAGGAAGUGGUUUUAUUAAAUCUUUAAAUGUUCACACAGGAAGCAUCUGGCACAUCAGUUCCACAGAAGAGUGCUUCAGUGUGCCUGGGUACCUACCACUCCAUCAGCUCUUCCUCAUCCUUUCUGAAGAGCUCUCGGAAGGCAGUUUCUUUUGUCAUCGUCCCUCUCAAAAUGUGACCCCAACAAUAAAUUCAAGGUUUCAUCCCAAAUAACACAGAGUAAAAAAAUGGUUAAUAGCUUUGUUCUAAUUACGGUAUUUCCUCAAGUAAAUCCUGUGGGCUCUUAUGGCAGCAGUAUUAC
Molecule: long non-coding RNA, 669 nt
Organism: Prionailurus viverrinus (fishing cat)
Lineage: Eukaryota; Metazoa; Chordata; Mammalia; Carnivora; Felidae
Exons: 3
Source: RefSeq, a predicted model, not a curated record